This 813-nucleotide ribosomal RNA is filed under the name uncultured archaeon. Its description in RNAcentral is "bacterial SSU rRNA". It matches the Rfam family "Archaeal small subunit ribosomal RNA", at positions 26 to 840 of the family's 1478-position model. The record is from RNAcentral.
AUUGCUAUCGGAGUUCGAUUUAGCCAUGCUAGUCGCACGGGUUUAGACCCGUGGCGAAAAGCUCAGUAACACGUGGCCAAACUACCCUAUGGAUCAGAAUAACCUCGGGAAACUGAGGCUAAUUCUGAAUACCGCUCCUGCACUGGGAUGUGCGGAGCAUGAAAUGCUUCGGCGCCAUAGGAUGUGGCUGCGGCCGAUUAGGUUGACGGUGGGGUAACGGCCCACCGUGCCCAUAAUCGGUACGGGUUGUGAGAGCAAGAGCCCGGAGACGGUAUCUGAGACAAGAUACCGGGCCCUACGGGGCGCAGCAGGCGCGAAACCUUUACACUGCACGACAGUGCGAUAAGGGAACUCCGAGUGCGAGGGCAUAGAGCCCUCGCUUUUGUACACCGUAAGGUGGUGUACGAAUAAGGGCUGGGCAAGACCGGUGCCAGCCGCCGCGGUAAUACCGGCAGCCCAAGUGAUGGCCGAUAUUAUUGGGCAUAAAGCGUCCGUAGCUGGCCGGACAAGUCCGUUGGGAAAUCCGCGCGCUUAACGCGCGGGCGUCCAGCGGAAACUGUCCGGCUUGGGGCCGGAAGACCUGAGGGGUACGUCCGGGGUAGGAGUGAAAUCCCGUAAUCUCGGACGGACCGCCUGUGGCGAAAGCGCGUCAGGAAGACGGACCCGACAUUGAGGGACGAAAGCCAGGGUCUCGAACCGGAUUAGAUACCCGGGUAGUCCUGGCUGUAAACGAUGUCCGCUAGGUGUGACGCAGGUUACGAGCCUGCGCUGUGCCGUAGGGAAGCCGUGAAGCGGACCGCCUGGGAAGUACGU